RNAcentral lists this ribosomal RNA (682 nucleotides) under uncultured bacterium. Its description in RNAcentral is "bacterial SSU rRNA". It matches the Rfam family "Bacterial small subunit ribosomal RNA", at positions 62 to 744 of the family's 1533-position model. The record is from RNAcentral.
CCAUUUUCGAGGCGAUUAGUUUACUAAGAGCCAAGAUGUUGGCAUCUUAGUGGCGGACGGGUGAGUAACGCGUGGGUAACCUGCCUUACACUGGGGGAUAACACUUAGAAAUAGGUGCUAAUACCGCAUAACAGAGGGAGUCGCAUGACUUCGUCUUAAAAACUCCGGUGGUGUAAGGUGGACCCGCGUCUGAUUAGCUGGUUGGCGGGGUAGCGGCCCACCAAGGCGACGAUCAGUAGCCGGCCUGAGAGGGUGAACGGCCACAUUGGGACUGAGACACGGCCCAAACUCCUACGGGAGGCAGCAGUGGGGAAUAUUGGACAAUGGGGGGAACCCUGAUCCAGCGACGCCGCGUGAGUGAAGAAGUAUUUCGGUAUGUAAAGCUCUAUCAGCAGGGAAGAAAGAAAUGACGGUACCUGACUAAGAAGCCCCGGCUAACUACGUGCCAGCAGCCGCGGUAAUACGUAGGGGGCAAGCGUUAUCCGGAUUUACUGGGUGUAAAGGGAGCGUAGACGGUAGUGCAAGUCUGGAGUGAAAGGCGGGGGCCCAACCCCCGGACUGCUCUGGAAACUGUGCGACUAGAGUGCAGGAGAGGUAAGUGGAAUUCCUAGUGUAGCGGUGAAAUGCGUAGAUAUUAGGAGGAACACCAGUGGCGAAGGCGGCUUACUGGACUGUAACUGAC